AUUGAACGCUGGCGGCAGGCCUAACACAUGCAAGUCGAACGAGUGGCGGACGUGUGAUUAAUGACUGGGCAACUGCCCGAUGGAGGGGGAUAACUACUGGUAACGGUAGCUACUACCGCAUAGCAUCGGAUGUACCCAGAUGGGAUGAGCUAGUGGGUGGGGUAACGGCUCACCGAGGCGACGAUCCCUUGCUGGUCUGAGAAGAUGACCAGCCACACGGUGACUGAGUCACGGUCCAGACUCCUACGGGAGGCAGCAGUGGGGAAUAUUGCACAAUGGGCGCAAGCCUGAUGCAGCCAUCCCGCGUGUAUGAAGAAGGCCUUCGGGUUGUAAAGUACUUUCAGCGGGGAGGCGUUACCCGCAGAAGAAGCACCGGCUAACUCCGUGCCAGCAGCCGCGGUAAUAC
Molecule: ribosomal RNA, 406 nt
Filed under: uncultured bacterium
Lineage: Bacteria
Description: partial 16S ribosomal RNA
Rfam family: Bacterial small subunit ribosomal RNA
Source: RNAcentral